CGGCGUGCCUAAUACAUGCAAGUCGAACGCACUCUCGUUUAGAUUGAAGGAGCUUGCUCCUGAUUGAUAACAUUUGAGUGAGUGGCGGACGGGUGAGUAACACGUGGGUAACCUGCCCUAAAGUGGGGGAUAACAUUUGGAAACAGAUGCUAAUACCGCAUAAAACCUAACACCGCAUGGUGUAGGGUUGAAAGAUGGUUUCGGCUAUCACUUUAGGAUGGACCCGCGGUGCAUUAGUUAGUUGGUGAGGUAAAGGCUCACCAAGACCGUGAUGCAUAGCCGACCUGAGAGGGUAAUCGGCCACACUGGGACUGAGACACGGCCCAGACUCCUACGGGAGGCAGCAGUAGGGAAUCUUCCACAAUGGACGAAAGUCUGAUGGAGCAACGCCGCGUGAGUGAAGAAGGUUUUCGGAUCGUAAACUCUGUUGUUGGAGAAGAAUGUAUCUGAUAGUAACUGAUCAGGUAGUGACGGUAUCCAACCAGAAAGCCACGGCUAACUACGUG
Molecule: ribosomal RNA, 506 nt
Filed under: uncultured bacterium
Lineage: Bacteria
Description: bacterial SSU rRNA
Rfam family: Bacterial small subunit ribosomal RNA
Source: RNAcentral